Vicia villosa (hairy vetch) is the source of this 787-nucleotide long non-coding RNA. RefSeq lists it as uncharacterized. The transcript is spliced from 3 exons. The record is from RefSeq and is a predicted model, not a curated record. Lineage: Eukaryota; Viridiplantae; Streptophyta; Magnoliopsida; Fabales; Fabaceae.
UGCUUUGUUAAUAUGGUGAAGACAUAUUGGUGGACAUAGACGUUUCUGAGAAAAUAUUGAUACAAUAAUUUUAUUUUUGUCGGUCUUUAUGAUACAAUAUUUCUCAACUUUGAUAGUUCUUUUUGGAAUGGUCAGAGAUGAGUGGUUGGAGCAGCUGUUGCAAAACAAUCUAUCCUCUCGCUGUUUUUUUUUACUUCGUCUACUUCUUCUCUGUUCCAUGUGUAUUUUAGUUGUGCAGGUUGUCGUAAUUGUCGGUGAAAAUGUGUAUAGGGAACGGGUGAUGGAAACAUUUGAGAAGGAUCUUCAUUUACCGGUUGUUUGUGUUGAUGCUGUAAAUUCAACCGGUUGUCUGGAUAUUGUCAAGACAGCAGGCUAUCAGGAAUAAAUUUAAGUCGACUCCAGAUAAACAAGAAGCACCAAGUAUUAGAGAGGGUUCCUCGUGCUGAAUUGGACGAUGCCGAACACUGGAGGGCAGUUACCUUUGGGCGGCAUGGUAGACGAUCCGGUUGAUCGUAACUAAUACAGGAAAAGGUUUGCAGAGUUUUUGAAUGGUGAGACUUGCUUCUUUUUUCUAAAACAGUGGCUGGAGCUAUUUACUUCAGAAUUAGAGGACUGUCUUGCGAAGCCAAAAAUAUCGACAGGGCUUCAAAGCGAAGUUGUUAUGUCUAAUGUAGCGCAGAUGGAAUGCAAUUAGUGAAUCGUUUCCAACACUCCCGGCUGCAGUUUUCUGUCUAAGGUCUAUCAUUCUCUUUCUACAAGCAGAGAAUGGUAGUUCACUCCUACAAUA